Molecule: long non-coding RNA, 697 nt
Organism: Passer montanus (Eurasian tree sparrow)
Lineage: Eukaryota; Metazoa; Chordata; Aves; Passeriformes; Passeridae
Exons: 3
Source: RefSeq, a predicted model, not a curated record
GUUUAGCUAUUCUGAUUAUUUUACGGAUUCCACAGCCAGGUCAUUACAUCUGUUUCUGGGUCCUCCAGUGGAAUGGAAAGGAAGAAGAGAAAGAGAUCUGAAAAACAUUUGCAUCUGUUUUGCCAGAGUUUUUGUUUGGUUUGUGAGACAAUGCUUGUGGGUACUCACUCAAAUGGGGUUUGCACCUAAAGCUAUGUGAGAGCAGAAACAGUUUGGUGCCAUCCGUCACAGAACAAUGCAGACAUUAAAAAUCUGAAUCCCAGGAAGAACAGUUCUAUAUUCCAGAGCCAUCUCAAAUUUGGUCAACUGAAGAAAAGGAAACACAACCACUGCUAAAUCUUUACAGUACAAAGUUAUUGCUUGAGUGUCUGACUUUGGGCUGGAGCCUGGCAAUGAAGUCUGCAACUGGAGACCUAAUGCUGUCCAGCUGGGGCAAGGAGCAGGAAUGCACAAGGAUGGAGGCUCAGAAGGGCUUGUGUUUUCUUCCUGCUGCUAAAAGUGCACGGGGACAGUGAAGAGGGGAAGCAAAGCUGACUUGUGAGGUCUGGAAUCUACUCCUCAGGACUGUCAGCUGAGGGGAGCUGUCCUAGAGAUCCUUGGAGAAAAUAGAGGGGAGGAUUUUUAUGUAUGGAAAGAAAAUUCCUCUGUAGGUUUAGAGAGAUGAGAUGAAGAAGAAAACAGCUGACCUGGCUGCAGA